Molecule: ribosomal RNA, 272 nt
Filed under: uncultured Lactobacillus sp.
Lineage: Bacteria; Bacillati; Bacillota; Bacilli; Lactobacillales; Lactobacillaceae
Description: partial 16S ribosomal RNA
Rfam family: Bacterial small subunit ribosomal RNA
Source: RNAcentral
AUUCAGACCUUGGUGAGUGGCGGACGGGUGAGUAACACGUGGGUAACCCUGCCCCAAAAGUGGGGGAUAACAUCUGGAAACAGGUGCUAAUACCGCAUUAACAACUACUUUCACAUGAUCGUAGCUUGAAAGAUGGCUCUGCUAUCGCUUUUGGAUGGACCCGCGGCGUAUUAGCUAGAUGGUGAGGUAACGGCUCACCAUGGCAAUGAUACGUAGCCGACCUGAGAGGGUAAUCGGCCACGAUUGGGACGUAGAGACACGGCCCAAACUCC